CAGCAAGCUUAGUGAACAGCUGCCAAAGAUUUCUCCUCAAAUCUCAACUUCCUGUUUCCAGAUGAGAAAAUGAAAGCAAAAAGCCAAAAGAAAUGCACAAGGCCACAACACUUGUCAGGCACGGUGGCUUACAGCUGUAAUCCCAGCACUUUGGCGGCCCAGGAGGGCACAUCACCUGAGAUGGAGGGAGUCCAAUGUCUCCAGUCUGUCCUUACCUAAAAGUGAUCCCCACGAUCAUUUUCAUGGAUGGAAAAAGUGUGCUCAUCUCUUUACAACCUUCUUCAGGAGCUGCAAAAGAAUGUGCACAAUUCCAGGGGCCAACACAAAAUGACUAGACUAGAGACUUGCAGGAAAAUACACAUCAAGGUUCAAUGGUUCAGAGGGAGGGGCCUCAGCCUGGGUGUGUCAGAAGACCUGGUUCAAAUUCCAGUUUGAUUCGUCUAAAUCUCAGUUUUUACAUACGUAAAAAGGUUGUAAAACAUCCUCAAAGAAUUGUCAUGAAGACUAAUAAGAAACACUGUUAUGAAAUCUGCUAGUACAGUAGCUGGCAUAUAGCAAAUACACUGUAACUAUUAGCUGAAUCCCAAAUUAGUUAUAAACUCAUUUUUCAACACCAUUAUAAUUUCUCACUCACAUCUUUAAAAAUGUGAUCUCAGUGCAAUUACUCUCUUGACAAAACACAAACAGGCACACACUCCUCUGACAUUCAUCACUAUCAGUUCAAGGAGGGAAGAGAGAACUCUCAUUCCCCUGAAACUUUUUGUUUUACUCAAAGCACUGUGUGCCAACAAAAAGACUGGUUAAAGGGCAUCGAAGGUUAAUUCACAAAAGAGGAAACAUAAAUGAUUUGAUAUAUGAGAAAAGGUCCAUCCUCACAUGUAGUCCAUCAAGGCAAGAUCAAACAAUAAAAUAGCAUAUGAUAACCUACGAUAUGUUGCCUACAAUAACCUUCUGUCUUCCCAAGAGGAUAUACAGCUGUUGGGGCAAUACAUUGAUUCGGCCCUUUCGGAUAGCAAU
This is a long non-coding RNA of Callithrix jacchus (white-tufted-ear marmoset), 1017 nucleotides long. RefSeq lists it as uncharacterized. The record is from RefSeq and is a predicted model, not a curated record. Lineage: Eukaryota; Metazoa; Chordata; Mammalia; Primates; Cebidae.